CGGGAGGCAGCAGAGGGGAAUUGUUCGCAAUGGGCGCAGGCCUGACGACGCCACGCCGCGUGGAGGAUGAAGGUCUUCGGGUUGUAAACUCCUUUUGACCGGGACGAAUAACCUCCGGGUUAACACCCCGGGGGUGGGACGGACCCGAUAGAGAAGGCCCCGGCUACACUCCGUGCCCGCAGCCGCGGUAAUACAGGGGGGGCAAGCGUUGUUCGUAAUUACUGGGCGUAAAGGGCGCGUAGGCGGCCGUCUAAGUCAGACAGUGAAAUCCCCCGGCUCAACCGGGGAACUGCGUCUGAUACUGGCUGGGCUUGAGUCCGGGAGAGGGAUGUGGAAUUCCAGUGUGUAGCGGUGAAAGUGCGUGAGAUAUCUGGAGGAACACCCGUGGCGAAGGCGGCCUCCUGGACCGGCAUUGACGCUGAGGCGCGAAAGCCAGGGGAGCAACACGGGAUUAGAUACCCCGGUAGUCCUGUGCGCCCUAAACGAUGACAUGCUCUGGUGUGGUCGGGUACUCAGAUCCUGCCGUGCCGAAGCUAACGCAUUAAGCA
RNAcentral lists this ribosomal RNA (548 nucleotides) under uncultured bacterium. RNAcentral's name for it is "bacterial SSU rRNA". It matches the Rfam family "Bacterial small subunit ribosomal RNA", at positions 342 to 866 of the family's 1533-position model. The record is from RNAcentral.